AGUUUUAUAGUUUAUAAAAACAUUAAUUUUGUAAAUUAAAAAUAAGAUUCUUUAAAACUA
This 60-nucleotide transfer RNA is filed under the name Aulacus sinensis. RNAcentral's name for it is "tRNA-Thr". Lineage: Eukaryota; Metazoa; Arthropoda; Insecta; Hymenoptera; Aulacidae. The record is from RNAcentral.